Molecule: ribosomal RNA, 497 nt
Filed under: uncultured bacterium
Lineage: Bacteria
Description: partial 16S ribosomal RNA
Rfam family: Bacterial small subunit ribosomal RNA
Source: RNAcentral
GAUGAACGCUGGCGGCGUGCCUAAUACAUGCAAGUCGAGCGAACGGACGAGAAGCUUGCUUCCCUGAUGUUAGCGGCGGACGGGUGAGUAACACGUGGAUAACCUACCUAUAUGACUGGGAUAACUUCGGGAAACCGGAGCUAAUACCGGAUAAUAUUUUGAACCGCAUGGUUCAAUAGUGAAUGACGGUCUUGCUGUCUCUUAUAGAUGGUUCCGCGCUGCAUUAGCUAGUUGGUAAGGUAACGGCUUACCAAGGCAACGAUGCAUAGCCGACCUGAGAGGGUGAUCGGCCACACUGGAACUGAGACACGGUCCAGACUCCUAAGGGAGGCAGCAGUAGGGAAUCUUCCGCAAUGGGCGAAAGCCUGACGGAGCGACGCCGCGUGAGUGAUGAAGGUCUUCGGAUCGUAAAACUCUGUUAUUAGGGAAGAACAGAUGUGUAAGUAACUGUGGACAUCUUGACGGUACCUAAUCAGAAAGCCACGGCUAACUACGUG